AAAAACAUCGCCUCUCGAGCCCAAUAAGAGGUCCAGCCUGCCCAGUGACACUGUUCAACGGCCGCGGUAUCCUAACCGUGCGAAGGUAGCGUAAUCACUUGUUCUUUAAAUGUGGACUAGUAUGAAUGGCAUCACGAAGGUUAUACUGUCUCCUUUUUCUAAUCAGUGAAACUAAUCUCCCCGUGAAGAAGCGGGGAUAAAAAUAUAAGACGAGAAGACCCUAUGGAGCUUUAAACAAUAUAGCACUUGCCACACACAAUAAAAACUCCAGUGUUAUUAAAUACCUUAAGCAAGCUGACUAUACGUUUUUGGUUGGGGUGACCACGGAGCAUAACACAACCUCCAUGCUGAAAGAAAAUCUUCUAAACUAAGAACCACACCUCUAAGUAUCAAAACAUUGACAUCCAUUGACCCAAUAAACUUGAACAACGAACCAAGUUACCCUAGGGAUAACAGCGCAAUCCACUUCAAGAGCCCCUAUCGACAAGUGGGUUUACGACCUCGAUGUUGGAUCAGGGUCUCCCAGUGGUGCAGCCGCUACUAAAGGUUCG
RNAcentral lists this ribosomal RNA (551 nucleotides) under Duttaphrynus scaber (Ferguson's toad). RNAcentral describes it as "partial 16S ribosomal RNA". It matches the Rfam family "Bacterial large subunit ribosomal RNA", at positions 1809 to 2575 of the family's 2925-position model. The record is from RNAcentral. Lineage: Eukaryota; Metazoa; Chordata; Amphibia; Anura; Bufonidae.